This is a long non-coding RNA of Canis lupus familiaris (dog), 1148 nucleotides long. RefSeq lists it as uncharacterized. NCBI's taxonomy places the organism in Eukaryota, Metazoa, Chordata, Mammalia, Carnivora, Canidae. The transcript has 3 exons. The record is from RefSeq and is a predicted model, not a curated record.
AGGAACUCUAGGCACAGGGGAAGGUAAAAGGGUGGAUGAGAAUUGACAGAAGUGGCAAGUUGAGGCCAGUGAUGUCUAGAGGUAGUGGAGGUGAUUAACCAUCUCAUGCAGGUUGAAUAGUAAAGGAAGUGAGGGCAAGAACUGCCUCAUGAAGAAAACCAAGGAACGAAGAGUCUGAGGAACAUGGGUCCAGAGUGGAAACAGGAGUCAGGAUUCCGGGCAAAAGGUGAAAGAGAAAAACCAACAAACACCGAGGAAAAUCACAAGUUUAUCAGCAGUAAGAAUGGAGAGGAUGGACCCAAAAGACAGAAUAACAGAUUGUGAGGAACUUAGCAAGCUGACGUGGAGAUGUAAGCAGACCCAUCGUUAGCCCCAUCACCUGACAAAGAGAAAAUCCAGGUCAGGACAAUUCAGUUUGGGAUUCAUGCUUGAGUAGCCAGCAGACUGGGUAAAAAUGUCCAGGAGUGUAGCUGAAACUACCCAGUGGGUGGAGCCGAGUGUGGAUAAGGAUGGGGACUCAUCAGCAGAACACACAGCUGACAGCUGUAGCAGCAGAUUACGGCUGAGCGAGAACAAUCCAAGAUGGAAAGACCAGAAGGCUGCGGACCACUUACAUUGGGGCUGGGGAGAAGAGUCAGGAAAGGAGUCGUCUUGAAGGGGUGGUAGAGAUCAUGGGAAGUCAGUUCCACUUCUGGAAAUUUAGCCUAAGAAAUGACCUGCAUAAGAUCCUGUGAGACCAGACAGAACAAUUCCAGUUCAUCCAUACACUGCCAUGGAAUGGAGCUGCUGAACAAAAGGCAGGGAAUCUAGUUGUUCUGACACCUUACAGCGUUGUUCAAGUGAAAACGACAGAGAGAGUACAGGGGAGAAAAGCAGAAAGGGAAAGAGAGAGACAAGCAGACACCAUGGUGAGAUGGAGCCGGAUGUGGGGCUGGAUCUCAUGACCUGAGCCGAAGCCAAGAGUUGGAUGCUUAACCGACUGAGCCACCCGGGUGCCCCUAGUUUUCACCUUCUGAAUAAAAAUCAAGAAUCCAUUUUUGCUUUACGUCCUUAAUUUCCAGAUACCUCAUUAUCUAAACUAGGCAAAAUUAUGUAACAUAGGUUGUCGUAUAAAGCAGCAUUAUCUCUACAGCCAAGGACUCUAAUAU